Talpa occidentalis (Iberian mole) is the source of this 562-nucleotide long non-coding RNA. RefSeq lists it as uncharacterized. The transcript is spliced from 3 exons. Lineage: Eukaryota; Metazoa; Chordata; Mammalia; Eulipotyphla; Talpidae. The record is from RefSeq and is a predicted model, not a curated record.
GAAGAGCAGCAGGUGGGGGAGGGUGAAAGAGUCUGUGCCCGCCUCUCUGGGCCUCAGUUUCCCCUCCUUACAUGGGGACUGUAUUCUCUUUGCCCCCUCCAGUGGGAACAUCCCAUACCCUGUUGCACCUGGUCUUCUGGUUCUGCCCCCCACUCUCAAAUUCCCCUACUUGGGGGAAUUUGUGUGUGGCUUGGGAAAGGCAGAGACUCUUCCAGGUACCACUGAGAUACUAAUUUUCCAAGUCGGAGUCUCAUCAUCGCUUCCCCUCAUCUUUCUGCAGUUUUGACAAUUUUCUGCUGCAAAAGGCAUUGCUUCUAAAGUCAGAGCGGAAUGAACAAUAUCAAUAAAUGCUUAGUUUUAAAGAAAGGAGAGAGAGGGGGAAAUGAAGCCUGGAGCGGGACCAGUGAGAUCGACAUGAGCAGAAGGAUCACGGUGAGGACGUGACAGGCCCUGCUGUGCAGAGGAUUGAAGAAGCUCACAAAAAACGGGUGGCUCGUGUCUAGAGGCCAGCACAGCCUCCUCUGGGCUCCUCGCCUCCAUCCCUGCCCCCAAGAAAGUCUGA